Molecule: transfer RNA, 71 nt
Filed under: Sphaerodactylus townsendi
Lineage: Eukaryota; Metazoa; Chordata; Lepidosauria; Squamata; Sphaerodactylidae
Description: tRNA-Ile
Rfam family: tRNA
About the family: Transfer RNA (tRNA) molecules are approximately 80 nucleotides in length. Their secondary structure includes four short double-helical elements and three loops (D, anti-codon, and T loops).
Source: RNAcentral
GGACAAUGGCUCAGUAAUAGAGCAUCUGCUUGAUAUGCAGAAGUUCUCAGGUUCAAUCCCUGGCAUCUCCA